This 465-nucleotide ribosomal RNA is filed under the name Vreelandella stevensii. RNAcentral describes it as "partial 16S ribosomal RNA". It matches the Rfam family "Bacterial small subunit ribosomal RNA", at positions 338 to 795 of the family's 1533-position model. Lineage: Bacteria; Pseudomonadati; Pseudomonadota; Gammaproteobacteria; Oceanospirillales; Halomonadaceae. The record is from RNAcentral.
UCUACGGGGUGCUGCAGUGGGGAAUAUUGGACAAUGGGCGAAAGCCUGAUCCAGCCAUGCCGCGUGUGUGAAGAAGGCCUUCGGGUUGUAAAGCACUUUCAGUGGGGAAGAAAGCCUUGGGGCUAAUACCCUCGAGGAAGGACAUCACCCACAGAAGAAGCACCGGCUAACUCCGUGCCAGCAGCCGCGGUAAUACGGAGGGUGCGAGCGUUAAUCGGAAUUACUGGGCGUAAAGCGCGCGUAGGCGGUCUGAUAAGCCGGUUGUGAAAGCCCCGGGCUCAACCUGGGAACGGCAUCCGGAACUGUCAGGCUAGAGUGCAGGAGAGGAAGGUAGAAUUCCCGGUGUAGCGGUGAAAUGCGUAGAGAUCGGGAGGAAUACCAGUGGCGAAGGCGGCCUUCUGGACUGACACUGACGCUGAGGUGCGAAAGCGUGGGUAGCAAACAGGAUUAGAUACCCCAGUAGUC